RNAcentral lists this ribosomal RNA (403 nucleotides) under uncultured bacterium. Its description in RNAcentral is "bacterial SSU rRNA". It matches the Rfam family "Bacterial small subunit ribosomal RNA", at positions 355 to 774 of the family's 1533-position model. The record is from RNAcentral.
UGGGGAAUAUUGCGCAAUGGGGGCAACCCUGACGCAGCAACGCCGCGUGAUUGAAGAAGGCCUUCGGGUUGUAAAGAUCUUUAAUCAGGGACGAAGAAUGACGGUACCUGAAGAAUAAGCUCCGGCUAACUACGUGCCAGCAGCCGCGGUAAUACGUAGGGAGCAAGCGUUAUCCGGAUUUACUGGGUGUAAAGGGCGCGCAGGCGGGCCGGCAAGUUGGGAGUGAAAUCCGGGGGCUUAACCCACGAACUGCUUUCAAAACUGCUGGUCUUGAGUGAUGGAGAGGCAGGCGGAAUUCCGUGUGUAGCGGUGAAAUGCGUAGAUAUACGGAGGAACACCAGUGGCGAAGGCGGCCUGCUGGACAUUAACUGACGCUGAGGCGCGAAAGCGUGGGGAGCAAACA